UACGUAGGGUGCAAGCGUUAUCCGGAAUUAUUGGGCGUAAAGAGCUCGUAGGCGGUUUGUCGCGUCUGCCGUGAAAAGUCCGGGGCUCAACUCCGGAUCUGCGGUGGGUACGGGCAGACUAGAGUGAUGUAGGGGAGACUGGAAUUCCUGGUGUAGCGGUGAAAUGCGCAGAUAUCAGGAGGAACACCGAUGGCGAAGGCAGGUCUCUGGGCAUUAACUGACGCUGAGGAGCGAAAGCAUGGGGAGCGAACAGG
This 254-nucleotide ribosomal RNA is filed under the name uncultured bacterium. RNAcentral describes it as "partial 16S ribosomal RNA". It matches the Rfam family "Bacterial small subunit ribosomal RNA", at positions 524 to 776 of the family's 1533-position model. The record is from RNAcentral.